GAUGAACGCUGGCGGCGUGCUUAACACAUGCAAGUCGAACGGGAAACUUUUCAUUGAAGCUUCGGCAGAUUUGGUCUGUUUCUAGUGGCGGACGGGUGAGUAACGCGUGGGUAACCUGCCUUAUACAGGGGGAUAACAACCAGAAAUGGUUGCUAAUACCGCAUAAGCGCACAGGACCGCAUGGUCCGGUGUGAAAAACUCCGGUGGUAUAAGAUGGACCCGCGUUGGAUUAGCUAGUUGGCAGGGUAACGGCCUACCAAGGCGACGAUCCGUAGCCGGCCUGAGAGGGUGAACGGCCACAUUGGGACUGAGACACGGCCCAGACUCCGACGGGAGGCAGCAGUGGGGAAUAUUGCACAAUGGGGGAAACCCUGAUGCAGCGACGCCGCGUGAAGGAAGAAGUAUCUCGGUAUGUAAACUUCUAUCAGCAGGGAAGAUAGUGACGGUACCUGACUAAGAAGCCCCGGCUAACUACGUGCCAGCCGCCGCAGUAA
RNAcentral lists this ribosomal RNA (494 nucleotides) under uncultured bacterium. RNAcentral describes it as "partial 16S ribosomal RNA". It matches the Rfam family "Bacterial small subunit ribosomal RNA", at positions 28 to 523 of the family's 1533-position model. The record is from RNAcentral.